Long non-coding RNA from Calidris pugnax (ruff), 982 nucleotides. RefSeq lists it as uncharacterized. The transcript is spliced from 2 exons. The record is from RefSeq and is a predicted model, not a curated record. NCBI's taxonomy places the organism in Eukaryota, Metazoa, Chordata, Aves, Charadriiformes, Scolopacidae.
UCCCGUGGAUUUAACAGCUCAGCAGAAGCGUCUCCUGGGGUUGCUGUCCCGCCUCUGCCUGGCUGGCUGAGAAACGUUGACUGCCCUUACCGGCCAAGAUGUAAAUUGGUCCAAAAUCAAGCGUGAGCAGCUUGUGAGGCUUCCCACACCUCGGCAAGGCAGCCACCCCGGCAGAACAGAGCAGAGCACUGGAAGAAGAGCCCAGGUCGGGAUGCUGCCGUUCCCCCCGUCAGCGCUGCGGAGACACGAGCUGGGUCCAACUGAGCCUGGUCCCCGCUUGCUCACUGCAGUCAUUUUAGAUCACUUGUGACUCACAGUCAACACUCAGGGCUGGAAAGGGCUGGAGCUUUUUUCCUAUUCUACGAAAAUCAAUAGGCACAAUUUUGCCCAAGCAUUCUGGCAUCACCAACCUCUAUUUUUAUACGGAGCCCUACAUUUGGCCUUUCCAACCUACUUGAUUUGCUACAAUGCGUUCCCUUCCUUGUUCUUAAAAACUAUGUCGUUUCUCUGCAGGAGGGUUGCUUUCGGGUUGAAUUUUUGAUGGUUUUAGGGCUGGAUCCAACUCCCGGGGGUGCCGGGAUGGGCUUUUUUAACACCUGAAGGGGUCUGCCCACUGCCUCGCACCUUGUCUCGGCGCUUACAUCUGCGGGGAGUGGGUGGUGCGGGGCUGCGGCUCUGCUCGCCUCGCCUCCUACGCCCGCUGCGAGCUGGCUGAGCAGGCAUGGAGCUGUGGAUUAUUCCUUGCAAGUACUGAGGAAGUGGAGAAUAAGGGCGAAAAUAGUUGGGAUUUGAUAGCGUGCGCAACAUCUGACAAACCUCAGUCUCCAAAGGAAGCAGCGAUUGAUUUAUAUCUUUAUUUGUCUCUAUGUAAUCUGGGUGUUGUCUUUAUGUAAUUUUUCAAGCGCUCUCUCUAGCAAAUGUGGUGAAGAAAGAAAUGCUGGGUUUUGUACUUACCUGCUUCCCUAAUAAACUCCUAAAAAUA